CUUGGGUUCUAUUUUGUUGGCUUCUAGGACCGAAGUAAUGAUUAAUAGGGAUAGUUGGGGACGUUAGUAUUUCAGUGUCAGAGGUGAAAUUCUUAGAUUUCUGAAAGACUAACUUCUGCGAAAGCAUUCGUCAAGGAUGUUUUCAUUAAUCAAGAACGAAAGUUAGGGGAUCGAAGACGAUCAGAUACCGUCGUAGUCUUAACCAUAAACUAUGCCGACUAGGGAUCGGACGAUGAAUUAUUAAUGACUCGUUCGGCACCUUAUGAGAAAUCAAAGUUUUUAGGUUCCGGGGGGAGUAUGGUCGCAAGGCUGAAACUUAAAGGAAUUGACGGAAGGGCACCACCAGGAGUGGAGCCUGCGGCUUAAUUUGACUCAACACGGGGAAACUCA
Molecule: ribosomal RNA, 390 nt
Filed under: fungal sp.
Lineage: Eukaryota; Fungi
Description: SSU rRNA
Rfam family: Eukaryotic small subunit ribosomal RNA
Source: RNAcentral